Molecule: long non-coding RNA, 362 nt
Organism: Diachasma alloeum
Lineage: Eukaryota; Metazoa; Arthropoda; Insecta; Hymenoptera; Braconidae
Exons: 3
Source: RefSeq, a predicted model, not a curated record
CGUAAACUAGGUAUUGUGUGCGUAUUUGUACAAUGCUCGUUGUCACCUUGGCGAGAAAGACGAACUGCCACCGAUAAUGUGAUGAUGAGGCGGCGGGAAUGAGAGACGCAGAUGUGAUGAGCUUGUGGUGAAAACGAACAAGCGAGUGAACUGAUUGAAAUGCUUGUGGCGAAGAAGAGGCCCACAGCCUCCGAGCCAUAGAGGUUACGGAGAUAAAGAUAGAACUUGACACAAUGGAGGAAGGGGAAUUAAACCAGACGGAACAGUGACGACUUGUUCCAACGAUCGGAAUGAUGCUGAGGACAUUCUCCCCAGCUUUUAUAUCCGAACGAUCUCAACCCCAAAACAACCCCCUGUGAAUU